RNAcentral lists this ribosomal RNA (864 nucleotides) under Triticum aestivum (bread wheat). RNAcentral describes it as "partial small subunit ribosomal RNA". The record is from RNAcentral. Lineage: Eukaryota; Viridiplantae; Streptophyta; Magnoliopsida; Poales; Poaceae.
AUGAUGAUGCUCGCAGCGAGCGCGCUGCCCCUCCAAGGUUGGAAACGCCAGAUCUCAGCUGUUACCUACCAACAGCCACAUUCAGUCCCACGCGCUGUGUUCAGAGUAUCUGCAACAAAGAAUAAUGAGAGGAAACGGAGGCGCGCCCGGAAUCUGCCCAAAGGCCCAGCGUUGAUCGCCGAGGAAGCUUCUCCGAGCAACGGCGAAAACCCCGCCACCAUCCUCGGUCUCGAUGGCGAUGGUGAUGCUACUAGUGAUGGCAAAGUUGCAGGUGCCCCAAGGGGUGCUGUUCUUCAGUCCUGCACUCUCACAUCCGGCUUGCUGCUUGCAGCAGGUCUCCUUCUUCGUGAGGCAUCACACAUUGCAUCUUCAAAUGAAUUGCCAUUUGCUGACCCUACAGCCAUAUCAUUCAAUUUUGAAACUUGGCAUCUCGAGUUGGUCGCUGGACUCGUAAUAUUGAUAUCGUCUACCAGAUACAUUCUGCUGCAGACAUGGCCCGAUUUCAGAGAUUCCAGUGAAGCUGCAAAUACACAGAUCCUUACUUCCCUGGAGUCUCUGGAUUACAUAGUAGUUGCUUGUCUCCCUGGAAUAAGCGAAGAGUUCCUGUUUCGAGGUGCAUUGAUGCCAAUUUUUGGAUUGAAUUGGAUAAGUGCUCUAGCAACUGGUGUAUUUUUCGGCGUUCUUCACUUGGGCAACGGCAGGAAAUAUUCAUUUGCAGUCUGGGCAACAUUUGUAGGCCUUGCCUAUGGUUUAGCAACCAUAGCUUCCUCAAGCAUCAUAGUCCCAAUGGCUUCUCAUUCCAUAAACAAUAUUAUUGGAGGCUUACUUUGGCGCUUCGGAGACAACUCAGAAAGAAAAAUAUAG